CCUACGGGUGGCAGCAGUGAGGAAUAUUGGUCAAUGGGCGCUAGCCUGAACCAGCCAAGUAGCGUGAAGGAUGACUGCCCUACGGGUUGUAAACUUCUUUUAUAACGGAAUAAAGUGAGGCACGUGUACCUUUUUGUAUGUACUUUAUGAAUAAGGAUCGGCUAACUCCGUGCCAGCAGCAGCGGUAAUACGGAGGAUCCGAGCGUUAUCCGGAUUUAUUGGGUUUAAAGGGAGCGUAGGUGGGUUGUUAAGUCAGUUGUGAAAGUUUGCGGCUCAACCGUAAAAUUGCAAUUGAUACUGGCAGCCUUGAGUACAGUAGAGGUAGGCGGAAUUCGUGGUGUAGCGGUGAAAUGCUUAGAUAUCACGAAGAACUCCGAUUGCGAAGGCAGCUUACUAAACUGCAACUGACAUUGAUGCGCGAAAGUGUGGGUAUCAAACAGGAUGAGAUACCCCAGUAGUC
This 460-nucleotide ribosomal RNA is filed under the name uncultured bacterium. RNAcentral's name for it is "partial 16S ribosomal RNA". It matches the Rfam family "Bacterial small subunit ribosomal RNA", at positions 338 to 795 of the family's 1533-position model. The record is from RNAcentral.